GACAUAGGUGGCGAACGUUAUCCGGAAUUAUUGGGCGUAAAGGAUGCGUAGGCGGUUGUUUAAGUCUGACGUGAAAUCUCCGGGCCUAACCCGGAAACUGCGUUGGAUACUAUUCAACUAGAGGAAUGGAGGGGAGACUGGAAUACUUGGUGUAGCAGUGAAAUGCGUAGAUAUCAAGUGGAACACCAGUGGCGAAGGCGAGUCUCUGGACAUUUCCUGACGCUGAGGCACGAAAGCCAGGGGAGCAAACGGG
RNAcentral lists this ribosomal RNA (253 nucleotides) under uncultured bacterium. RNAcentral's name for it is "partial 16S ribosomal RNA". It matches the Rfam family "Bacterial small subunit ribosomal RNA", at positions 524 to 776 of the family's 1533-position model. The record is from RNAcentral.